UACGUAGGGCGCAAGCGUUGUCCGGAAUCACUGGGCGUAAAGCGUCUGCAGGUGGUCAACUAAGUCAACUGUUAAAUCUUGAGGCUUAACCUCAAAAUCGCAGUCGAAACUAUUAGACUAGAGUAUAGUAGGGGUAAAGGGAAUUUCCAGUGGAGCGGUGAAAUGCGUAGAGAUUGGAAAGAACACCGCUGGCGAAGGCACUUUACUGGGCUAUUACUAACACUCAGAGACGAAAGCUAGGGUAGCAAAUGGG
This 253-nucleotide ribosomal RNA is filed under the name uncultured bacterium. RNAcentral describes it as "partial 16S ribosomal RNA". It matches the Rfam family "Bacterial small subunit ribosomal RNA", at positions 524 to 776 of the family's 1533-position model. The record is from RNAcentral.